AGUGAUUACACAUUUUGUCACCCUUACUAUUUUCAAUGUACCACAAGACCCAAUCUCGCUCCAUAACAGGAACACAUUGGCAACUACAGAACGAAGGAACAACGGUUGAAAUGAACUCGUCCCUCUUUGCCAGAAACUCGUCACUGUGCGACAAACCCCAUGCCCAUUUUAGAGACCGAACUAGUUUCUCGAUCCUGACAACUGAUUCCCUCGUAAAACGAGCAAAAUACUCCUCAUCACCCCAAAAUAUUUUUUUAGUCAUUGCGUAUGUAUACACAGCAUGCUCAUAUCAUGAAAGCAAGUCCUUCUUCCUGAAGGUUAAAUGUGAAGAAAAAUUGUACACCCUUCAUAUAAAGUGUGCUUGGAUUUCUCUCUGCGUAGCAAGUUUUAAAUAACUCAGGAGGCAUAUUGAGUCUCCUGGGAACGGAUAACACAUCGUAAAAAUGGUUUACCCUGCUCCACUCUGCUAACGCCUUCAUCGUCUUGCGCGAUGCUCUUAGGCCAUAGAGAUCUGUGAAGGAGUUACC
This 527-nucleotide long non-coding RNA is filed under the name Brassica napus (rape). RNAcentral's name for it is "long non-coding RNA (BNAP_LNC017279)". Lineage: Eukaryota; Viridiplantae; Streptophyta; Magnoliopsida; Brassicales; Brassicaceae. The record is from RNAcentral.